CCUACGGGGGGCAGCAAUUAGGAAUCUUGCGCAAUGGGGGAAACCCUGACGCAGCGACGCCGCGUGGAGGAGGAAGUCCUUCGGGAUGUAAACUCCUUUUGUUGGGGAAGAAAUAAAUGACGGUACCCAACGAAUAAGCUCCGGCUAACUACGUGCCAGCAGCCGCGGUAAUACGUAGGGAGCGAGCGUUGUCCGAAGUUACUGGGCGUAAAGCGCGCGUAGGCGGGUUAUUAAGUGAGAGGUGAAAUUCCAGGGCUCAACCCGGGGACUGCCUCUCAUACUGAUAGUCUUGAGUGAGGUAGAGAGAAGUGGAAUGGCUGGUGUAGCGGUGAAAUGCGUAGAUAUCAGUCGGAACACCGGUGGCGAAGGCGGCUUCUUGGGCCUUUACUGACGCUGAGGCGCGAAAGCCAGGGUAGCGAACGGGAUUAGAUACCCCUGUAGUC
RNAcentral lists this ribosomal RNA (443 nucleotides) under uncultured bacterium. Its description in RNAcentral is "bacterial SSU rRNA". It matches the Rfam family "Bacterial small subunit ribosomal RNA", at positions 338 to 795 of the family's 1533-position model. The record is from RNAcentral.